RNAcentral lists this ribosomal RNA (253 nucleotides) under uncultured bacterium. RNAcentral's name for it is "partial 16S ribosomal RNA". It matches the Rfam family "Bacterial small subunit ribosomal RNA", at positions 524 to 776 of the family's 1533-position model. The record is from RNAcentral.
UACGUAGGGGGCAAGCGUUGUCCGGAUUUAUUGGGCGUAAAGAGCGUGUAGGCGGCCCGACAGGUCCGUUGUGAAAACUCGAGGCUCAACCUCGAGACGCCGAUGGAAACCGUCUGGCUAGAGUCCGGAAGAGGAGAGUGGAAUUCCUGGUGUAGCGGUGAAAUGCGCAGAUAUCAGGAGGAACACCGGUGGCGAAGGCGGCAUCCUGGACCAAUUCUGACGCUGAGGAGCGAAAGCCAGGGGAGCAAACGGG